UACGGGAGGCAGCAGUGGGGAAUAUUGGACAAUGGGCGAAAGCCUGAUCCAGCCAUGCCGCAUGAGUGAAGAAGGCCUUCGGGUUGUAAAGCUCUUUUAGUGAGAAAGAUAAUGACGGUACUCACAGAAGAAGUCCUGGCUAACUCCGUGCCAGCAGCCGCGGUAAUACGGAGAGGGCUAGCGUUAUUCGGAAUUAUUGGACGUAAAGAGCGCGUAGGCUGAUUAGUAAGUUAAAAGUGAAAUCCCAAAGCUUAACUUUGGAAUUGCUUUUUAAAACUGCUAGUCUAGAGAUUGAAAGAGGAUAGAGGAAUUCCUAGUGUAGAGGUGAAAUUCGUAAAUAUUAGGAGGAACACCAGUGGCGAAGGCGUCUAUCUGGUUCAAAUCUGACGCUGAGGCGCGAAGGGCGUGGGGAGCAAACGAGGGAUUAGAUACC
RNAcentral lists this ribosomal RNA (433 nucleotides) under uncultured bacterium. RNAcentral's name for it is "bacterial SSU rRNA". It matches the Rfam family "Bacterial small subunit ribosomal RNA", at positions 340 to 786 of the family's 1533-position model. The record is from RNAcentral.